GAUUAACGCUAGCGGUGCGCCUAAUACAUGCAAGUCGAGCGGGAAUAAUUGGUGACACCCAGACAUUGUGAGAUGUUUGAGUGUUGCUGGUUAUUCUAGCGGCGAACGGGUGAGUAACACGUCGGUCAUCUACCCUGAAGUGGGGGAUACCCAGCCGAAAGGUUGGCUAAUACCCCAUAGUCACGAGGGGGCGUAUGCCAUUCUCGUGUAAAGCAGCAAUGCGCUUCAGGACGAGCCUGCGUUCCAUCAGGUAGUUGGCGGGAUAAAAGCCCACCAAGCCUACGACGGAUAGCUGGUGUGAGAGCACGACCAGCCACAAUGGGACUGAGACACGGCCCAUACAUCUACGGAUGGCAGCAGUAAGGAAUCUUCCGCAAUGGACGAAAGUCUGACGGAGCGACACCGCGUGAGGGAUGAAGGCUCUCGGGUUGUAAACCUCUUUUCUGGGGGACCAUUAUGAGUGUACCCCAGGAAUAAGCAUCGGCUAACUACGUGCCAGCAGCCGCGGUAAUACGUAGGAUGCAAGCGUUAUCCGGAAUCAUUGGGCGUAAAGCGUCCGCAGGUGGAACAGUAAGUUGAGCGAUAAAUACCAGUGCCUAACAUUGGUGCCUCGUUCAAAACUGCUGAUCUAGAGGAUGGGAGGGGCAGACGGAAUUCCCGGUGUAGGGGUAAAAUCCGUAGAUAUCGGGAAGAACACCAAAAGCGAAGGCAGUCUGCUGGAACAUUCCUGACACUCAUGGACGAAAGCGUGGGGAGCGAAAAGGAUUAGAUACCCUUGUAGUCCACGCCCUAAACGAUGAGUACUCGAUGUAGGGAGAGUCAAUCCUCCCUGUGUCUAAGCUAACGCGUUAAGUACUCCGCCUGAGUAGUACGAUCGCAAGAUUAAAACUCAAAGGAAUAGACGGGGACCCACACAAGCGGUGGAGCAUGUGGUUUAAUUCGACAGUAAACGAGGAACCUUACCAGGUCUUGACAUGGGGAGAAUACCGAAGAAACUCGGUAGUGCCCGCAAGGGAGCUCUCACACAGGUGCUGCAUGGUUGUCGUCAGCUCGAGCCUUGAGGUGUGCGGUUAAGUCCGUGAUCGAGCGCAACCCUUACCCUCUGUUAUAAUUUCUGAGGGGACUGCCGUGCCAUAAGCCGGAGGAAGGUGGGGAUGACGUCAAAUCAGCAUGGCCCUUACGGCCUGGGCUACACACGUGCUACAAUGACGAGUCACAAAGCGAAGCGAAGGAGCAAUCCGGAGCCAAUCGUCAAAACUCGCCUCAGUUCGGAUUGGGGGCUGCAACUCGCCCCCAUGAAGCUGGAAUCGCUAGUAACCGUGAAUCAGCUAUGUCACGGUGAAUAUGUUCCUGGGUCUUGUACUCACCGCCCGUCAAGUCAUGGAAGCCAGGGGCGCCCGAAAUCCUCUUGUUAGGGGCCUAAGGUGAAACUGGUGACUGGGACU
RNAcentral lists this ribosomal RNA (1445 nucleotides) under uncultured bacterium. Its description in RNAcentral is "bacterial SSU rRNA". It matches the Rfam family "Bacterial small subunit ribosomal RNA". The record is from RNAcentral.